CCCUGCUGGACACGAGUCCUACUCCUACACAGAGAGAAAGACCAAGGACGAUACAGGUUAACUGUCAGUCCUAGAACACCCUGCUGGACACGAGUCCUACUCCUACACAGAGAGAAAGACCAAGGACGAUACAGGUUAACUGUCAGUCCUAGAACACCCUGCUGGACACGAGUCCUACUCCUACACAGAGAGAAAGACCAAGGACGAUACAGGUUAACUGUCAGUCCUAGAACACCCUGCUGGACACGAGUCCUACUCCUACACAGAGAGAAAGACCAAGGACGAUACAGGUUAACUGUCAGUCCUAGAACACCCUGCUGGACACGAGUCCUACUCCUACACAGAGAGAAAGACCAAGGACGAUACAGGUUAACUGUCAGUCCUAGAACACCCUGCUGGACACGAGUCCUACUCCUACACAGAGAGAAAGACCAAGGAC
Oncorhynchus keta (chum salmon) is the source of this 439-nucleotide long non-coding RNA. RefSeq lists it as uncharacterized. The record is from RefSeq and is a predicted model, not a curated record. Lineage: Eukaryota; Metazoa; Chordata; Actinopteri; Salmoniformes; Salmonidae. The transcript is spliced from 3 exons.